AGGAGCCGUGUUCGUGAAUAGCGCAAGCACGGUUCCGUGAGGUUCCCUUCUACUCGGCUAGCGUCAUAAAAAGACCGCCAAUUGGCGGCCUUUUGAACGUGCGAUUCUUUACAUAAUCAUAC
This 122-nucleotide unclassified non-coding RNA is filed under the name Bacillus sp. OK838. Lineage: Bacteria; Bacillati; Bacillota; Bacilli; Caryophanales; Bacillaceae. The record is from RNAcentral.